UACGGAGGAUCCGAGCGUUAUCCGGAUUCAUUGGGUUUAAAGGGUGCGCAGGUUGUUUUAUAAGUUAGCGGUGAAAUACCGAUGCUCAACAUCGGGGCUGCCGCUGAUACUGUAGGACUAGAGAUCGGAUGCAGCAGGCGGAAUGUGUAGUGUAGCGGUGAAAUGCAUAGAUAUUACACAGAACACCGAUUGCGAAGGCAGCUUGCUAGGCCGGAUCUGACACUGAUGCACGAAAGCGUGGGGAUCGAACAGG
Molecule: ribosomal RNA, 253 nt
Filed under: uncultured bacterium
Lineage: Bacteria
Description: partial 16S ribosomal RNA
Rfam family: Bacterial small subunit ribosomal RNA
Source: RNAcentral